RNAcentral lists this non-coding RNA (28 nucleotides) under Bombyx mori (domestic silkworm). Lineage: Eukaryota; Metazoa; Arthropoda; Insecta; Lepidoptera; Bombycidae. The record is from RNAcentral.
UAGUAGCGGUAGUUUCGGAUUUGAGAGU